Molecule: long non-coding RNA, 222 nt
Filed under: Prunus persica (peach)
Lineage: Eukaryota; Viridiplantae; Streptophyta; Magnoliopsida; Rosales; Rosaceae
Description: long non-coding RNA (PPER_LNC002865)
Source: RNAcentral
UUUGGAAGAAACCUGUGACAAUAUUAUGGUAUUUCUCUCUGAAAAUCAUAUAUAAAUAUAAUAUUUUUCUUUUACUAUUUUAUUGUGGACUAAAAUUCAACAUAUCUUCUUGUGGCGAAACAGGGUCAAUAGUAUAUAACACGUAAAGCAGAUACAGAUGGGGCCCCGAUGAAAUUUCGCCGACACUGAAUUGCAAUUAGAAUACUUUCGCCAUGGUUCAUG